Molecule: small RNA, 150 nt
Filed under: Gopherus agassizii (Agassiz's desert tortoise)
Lineage: Eukaryota; Metazoa; Chordata; Testudines; Testudinidae
Description: TUC338 (ENSGAGG00000012553.1)
Source: RNAcentral
UUAAGAACCAGAAUGCUUUAUUAAUCCACAGAACAAUUUGAGCACGGGCAGCAGGAGUGCAAGUUCCCUAAAUUACCCCACCAAUGUUCCUCAACACUAACUUGGAGGCAUACUGUUAGAAAUGAGAGACUAGAUUAGUCAAUGUCGCCU